UAAGGCUAGUACAUGUCAGUGAGGUAUAAUGAGAGGAAGUGGUGUCACAAUUCAGAACACCUAGGUUCUAAUCUUAACCGGCAUACCCAGCUGCCUGGAGUUUUACAAAUCAUUUUAUUACUCUGGGUUUGAGUUUCCUGCUUGCAAACCUGGGAUAACAAACAGGUCUAUCCCUUAAAAGUUUCUAGAAAUGUACUGUGAUUGUAAACCUAAUAUGCUCUAUAGAUUAUUUUAAAGCACUGUGAAAGCGUUUACCAUUAUCAUUGACCGCCAUUACCUAAAAAUCUCUGUUUAAUCCAUCUACCUUGCAUCUGACCCACGGAUCUCUGGUACUAGGUUGCAGACCAAUGUUCUUCCAGGAUUGGCUACGCAGAUACGCGACACUAUAGAUGUCACAGUCAUGGUGCACACCUGACUUCAAAGCUGUAUUGGCCCUGUGACACUCACUACAUGGCUGUUGAAUUAAAAUGCAUCACAAGGUAUGCUGAGAUGCCCUCAAGAAGCCAGCUGCAAAUCCUCUGCUUUGGCGUCUGAUAAUGAACCUUAUAAGACCAUCUUUCCUACUGUGAGUUUAAGGAUGGGCAGUGCUAUUGUGGUGUCUGCAAUUAGUAAUAUUAGCGAAGAAAGGAUUCUACUUUCAGGACAAUUCAGAAAAUUCUGUAAUUUUGAAAAGAAAUGAAAAUGCUGGUUCUAUAAUGAAAGAAACUGAUAUUUUCUUUGGAGAGCCUCUGGCCAUGUAACAAUACAAUGAAUCUCAACGGUAGUGGCAUCUUGAAGACCAUGACUGGAUUCUAUUAAUUGU
Molecule: long non-coding RNA, 802 nt
Organism: Neofelis nebulosa (Clouded leopard)
Lineage: Eukaryota; Metazoa; Chordata; Mammalia; Carnivora; Felidae
Exons: 3
Source: RefSeq, a predicted model, not a curated record